Molecule: ribosomal RNA, 763 nt
Filed under: Treponema pallidum
Lineage: Bacteria; Pseudomonadati; Spirochaetota; Spirochaetia; Treponematales; Treponemataceae
Description: bacterial SSU rRNA
Rfam family: Bacterial small subunit ribosomal RNA
Source: RNAcentral
AACGAACGCUGGCGGUGCGUUUUAAGCAUGCAAGUCGAACGGCAAGGAAGCGAAUUUUCGUUUCUCUAGAGUGGCGGACUGGUGAGUAACGCGUGGGUAAUCUGCCUUUGAGAUGGGGAUAGCCUCUAGAAAUAGGGGGUAAUACCGAAUACGCUCUUUUGGACGUAGGUCUUUGAGAGGAAAGGGGCUGCGGCCUCGCUCAGAGAUGAGCCUGCGACCCAUUAGCUUGUUGGUGGGGUAAUGGCCUACCAAGGCGUCGAUGGGUAUCCGACCUGAGAGGGUGACCGGACACACUGGGACUGAGAUACGGCCCAGACUCCUACGGGAGGCAGCAGCUAAGAAUAUUCCGCAAUGGGCGAAAGCCUGACGGAGCGACACCGCGUGGAUGAGGAAGGUCGAAAGAUUGUAAAGUUCUUUUGCCGACGAAGAAUGAGGACGGGAGGGAAUGCCCGUUUGAUGACGGUAGUCGUGCGAAUAAGCCCCGGCUAAUUACGUGCCAGCAGCCGCGGUAACACGUAAGGGGCGAGCGUUGUUCGGAAUUAUUGGGCGUAAAGGGCAUGCAGGCGGACUGGUAAGCCUGGUGUGAAAUCCCCGAGCUCAACUUGGGAACUGCACUGGGUACUGCUGGUCUAGAAUCACGGAGGGGAAACCGGAAUUCCAAGUGUAGGGGUGGAAUCUGUAGAUAUUUGGAAGAACACCGGUGGCGAAGGCGGGUUUCUGGCCGAUGAUUGACGCUGAGGUGCGAAGGUGUGGGGAGCGAACA